Molecule: long non-coding RNA, 709 nt
Filed under: Solanum lycopersicum (tomato)
Lineage: Eukaryota; Viridiplantae; Streptophyta; Magnoliopsida; Solanales; Solanaceae
Description: long non-coding RNA (SLYC_LNC000365)
Source: RNAcentral
CAUUAUUUGGAUAAAAAAAAACACAGAAGAAACAGAGUUUGUAACCAUAGUUGUUGAAGUUGAAGAAAAGGUUUAAUUUUCCAUGUUCAAUAAUUCAGUCAUUUCCCAGAAACACAUGCAUGUGUCCAAAAGGCUCAGAUCUGCAAAGAGAUCGGAACAAAGAGAGAGACGACCACGCCAUGGCUGCAAAAUUUGCCAAGCCAAGAUACGAGUCGCAUAAUCUCCAAGCCCGAUCCGGUUAGCCCAUCAUCAUCAUCAUCACAGCCUCAAUAGAUCAAACACCAACAAAGAGUGAGUAAUUAAUUAACAAAAAAGAGAAUGGCAUAGAUGUAGAAUUGGAAAGUUGAGGAAUAUAUGUAUGUUUGUUGUAUGUAUGUAUGUAUGGCAUGCAUGUUCCAAUAAUUCCCAGGAAAUUAACAUGAAUUCAAGGGUUGUUGCUUCAUCUCUAAAAGAAUCAUUCAUAGGCUAAACAAGAGAGGGGCAACCACCCUUGUUAAUAAAAUCCAAAAACUCUCUGUUUUGCCUCUUUUUUCUUUUCUGGGCUAACCUUUUCUUUGCUUCUUUUCCACCUUUAACUUUUGCCUUUUUUAUAACCCACUCUUGAAUAAAUUUAUCAUUUUUCUGUAUGUCUAAUGGAUAAUACUUUAUUUGAAAAUGUAAAAGCACAAACAACUUGUCAUUCUUAUCCAUUUCUCCUUGAAACAGAAUU